This 253-nucleotide ribosomal RNA is filed under the name uncultured bacterium. Its description in RNAcentral is "partial 16S ribosomal RNA". It matches the Rfam family "Bacterial small subunit ribosomal RNA", at positions 524 to 776 of the family's 1533-position model. The record is from RNAcentral.
UACGUAGGAACCGAGCGUUAUCCGGAUUCACUGGGCGUAAAGCGCGUGCAGGCGGCUUGGUAAGUCGGACGUGAAAGCUCCUGGCUUAACUAGGAGAGGUCGUUCGAGACUGCCCGGCUUGAGGUCGGGAGAGGGACGUGGAAUUCCCGGUGUAGUGGUGGAAUGCGUAGAUAUCGGGAGGAACACCUGUGGCGAAGGCGACGUCCUGGCCCGCACCUGACGCUCAGACGCGAAAGCGUGGGGAGCAAACAGG